RNAcentral lists this ribosomal RNA (496 nucleotides) under uncultured bacterium. Its description in RNAcentral is "partial 16S ribosomal RNA". It matches the Rfam family "Bacterial small subunit ribosomal RNA", at positions 28 to 506 of the family's 1533-position model. The record is from RNAcentral.
GAUGAACGCUGGCGGCGUGCCUAAUACAUGCAAGUCGAGCGAACAGACGAGGAGCUUGCCCCUCUGACGUUAGCGGCGGACGGGUGAGUAACACGUGGAUAACCUACCUAUAAGACUGGGAUAACUUCGGGAAACCGGAGCUAAUACCGGAUAAUAUAUUGAACCGCAUGGUUCAAUAGUGAAAGACGGUUUUGCUGUCACUUAUAGAUGGAUCCGCGCCGCAUUAGCUAGUUGGUAAGGUAACGGCUUACCAAGGCAACGAUGCGUAGCCGACCUGAGAGGGUGAUCGGCCACACUGGAACUGAGACACGGUCCAGACUCCUACGGGAGGCAGCAGUAGGGAAUCUUCCGCAAUGGGCGAAAGCCUGACGGAGCAACGCCGCGUGAGUGAUGAAGGUCUUCGGAUCGUAAAACUCUGUUAUUAGGGAAGAACAAAUGUGUAAGUAACUAUGCACGUCUUGACGGUACCUAAGCAGAAAGCCACGGCUAACUACGU